CAGGGGGAAAAAAAGUACUAAGUAAAUUACAUUUACAAAUGAAUUGUGAGAAGCAUUACUUCUGAUAUAUUAAUUUGAUGAAAGCUCAUAGACCUUCAGAAAAGUGUCUGGUGUCAGAGUGAUUUCAAAUAAGUUUAGCAAUUUCUUUUCAACUGUACUCAUAUUGAAACUCCCUGACAUUAUCAGAUUAUCUUUUGAGUUAUCAGCUGUAAAAACAUCCUGUUUUCUAAUGUUUUAAAAGUCUUCUGGUUUUUUUCAGUCAUAGAAUUUGAAUGUAACCCAAUUUCAGUGUGAUUUACCAAUCUGUCCGGCAGCUUAGGUAAGUUUCUGGUGAGCAGGGACUCCUAUGCUUGACUGGCAUCAAGUUCAAAUGAUGACCAAGGUUAAAUGCAGGUGUAUGGCAUCCUCAUCCAUAUCCAGAUAUGGUCAACAUAAACCUUUUUUUCCCUUUUUUCUAUUUAUCUAGGAAGCACUUCCCUUUUAUCACAUGUGCCAAGGGCUUGAAAUGUGAAGGCUGUAUGGUAUGUCUCUUGCAUUUUUAACUGUUCUCCUAAUGAUGGGCUGAAAUGAAGACUGACAAUUUUUAUUUUUAAGCAGGUAAAUCUGUUGCAUGAGAAGCAUAACUGAUGCCACGGUGUCACUCCUGUGCCACACAGAGAAGAAACACUUGCCUUUAAACCCUUGGGUUUGUUUGCUUUUUGUUUUUAAGGGCAGGUUCCUGUCUCACAUAUCCCACUAUGUGUCCUGAAGGGUGUGAUUGUUCACUUGUGCUGCCAGACAGCUGUGACCUACUCAGGCAUGAUGCUCUAAUAGAAUGUUUCAUGCCCUAAAAUCUAAACAUUAGGCUCGUCAACACAUGGCAGGAAUGGGAAUGUAAUCACAGGCACACCAGUGUACAUAUUUGAGGUGAUGGUGAUUGAGAUAUCUGUGCUGAUAACACCAAACACUGAUUCACUUCAGAUUUUUGCUCCCUUGCCUUGCUGCUCCCUGGGAGCUGUGUGUAAGAUGUGAAAUAUUUGAAGGUGUAGUUUCAUCUGUUCCAGCCUGAAGCAGUCACUUAUUUUUUAGCUUACUGCAAGUGCUAUACUAACUAAAUUUUACUGCUCUGCCUACCAAGAGUGCUACUUGCAUCCAGGGCUCUAGAAAUGCUUUUCUGCUCCAAAAGCUUUCUAAACCAUUGCUAAGUACAGCCACAUUUUCCUUCUGUGAUAAACUUGGGGAUUUUGCUCCACUAGCAUUUAAUGUGUUAAAGCUUAAGGCUUUCACCAGAUGAUCUUUUCACUGUAAAGAUGAUUUGCUGCCUUCAGAAUUCAGCAGGAGCAGACCCAACAGGAACCAGAAUUCCACAGGACACCUUUGAAAUUCCCAGUCUGUCAGCUUUCAGAUUUUAGCAAGCUGUUUGUGUCCAGAACAAUGGACCAGCUUUAAGAUCCAUUUACUCAAGGAUGAUCCAUUGCACAGUUCCAUUUUCUCUGAGGAUUUCACUCCCACAAUUGAACCAAUUGUACAGUUUCUGGCUGGGAUUGAGUCACAUUUCUUCAUAGCAGCCUGUAUGGGACUGUGUUUUGGAUGUGUGAUGAUAAUGUGUUAAUAAUGGGGAUGUUUUCCUUACUGCUGAGUGGUGCUUACACUGAGCCAAGGCUUUUUCUGCUUCUCACCCACCCCAGCAGUAAGUGGGCUGGGGAAAGCACAAGAACUUGGGAGGGGACACAGCCAGGACACCUGAUCCCAAAUGACCAAAGUGAUAUCCCUUAUCCAGGCUGCUUUGCUCUGCAGGAACAGCUGCAAGAAGAUGAAGGAAUGAAAUGCUUGAUGGAGCUCUGCUUUCCUGGAGAUGGCCAAACACUCCCUGCCCAUCACAAGUAGCUCUCCAUGUCUCUGUCAGAACACCACCUAAACACAAGAUCAAGCCUUCAUGCUGCUACAGGCUGAAUUUUGGCAGCAUUCAAGAAACUGGACUGGGAAGAUUUUGUCAGAAAAUGAGAUGUGCAUUUGUAGCCUCUUUUGCUGACCCUGGGGCCACUUAUCUACACUGAGAAAUAG
Non-coding RNA from Zonotrichia albicollis (white-throated sparrow), 2043 nucleotides. NCBI's taxonomy places the organism in Eukaryota, Metazoa, Chordata, Aves, Passeriformes, Passerellidae. The record is from RefSeq and is a predicted model, not a curated record.